Nymphaea colorata (pocket water lily) is the source of this 1729-nucleotide long non-coding RNA. RefSeq lists it as uncharacterized. The record is from RefSeq and is a predicted model, not a curated record. Lineage: Eukaryota; Viridiplantae; Streptophyta; Magnoliopsida; Nymphaeales; Nymphaeaceae. The transcript is spliced from 3 exons.
ACACUGGUGAAGGAGAUUGUUCUCAUGUACGACAACAGCAGCUGAAUGACCUUAGCUAUGGAGUCGGUCGUAGAACUUUCAAUCUCUUGCUCACGUCAAGAUCUAAGAGCUGUAUCAACUUAUCUAUCAAGUUGGUGGUGCAUCUUUGUAAUAGAUAUGGGUUAUCGUUUAAAAAAAGAAGAGAGAGAGUAAAGUUUACAUGAUAACAACACUUGACUGCACGUUGAGGACAUUCUGUUAGCAAAAGAAAUUGUCCUAUCUAAGCAGAGGAGCAGUGCCCAAAAGGAAUGGAUUCAUGUGAAGUUCAAUGAGAUGUAAAUCUUUCUCUCUCUCUCUCUCUCUCUGUCUCUGCUGUGGAGGGUCACAUGUACAGUUAGGUGUCAAGAUGUUCUCAAUUUCCUUCUUUCUUUUUCGUUCUCUCCUUUUCUGUUUCUCCCCCUUUAUUUUUUCAAUUAUCGUGCUCUCAAGAUGGUCCCCUGCAGAAGGGCGAUUGUUUUAAACAUCCUUUUUGGUCGUUUUCGAGAGUUACAGGAUCUGCAGGCGUCUCCAUCCGUUCAUCUUUCUGGAGAGAGGUUAGAGAGAGAAAGAGAUGGUAAUUUCAGGAAGUCACGCUAGCCCUGCAUGCCUAGUGGCAUCGACAUGCAUAUUAUUCAAUCCCUUUCCUCUUGGUCGGCUUUUUGGGACCACCAUGUUGGUCUGGUUUGUGGGCUCUCUCUCUGUAGAUUUCUCUCUCUAAUUUUUUUUUUUCCCUAAACUCGUGGCUGUCCUCCUAUUUAUUCCCAUCAAAGCGAGUCUCCAAGGAACACCAUCCAAGGCAAGGAGAAGAACAAAAAAAAAAACAAAACCCUACCUCUUCUCUCCGUCUCUCUCUAUCUCUCUAGGGCCUUAUUGUUUCGUUAGAGAUGCUGGGUGGUGCACAGAAACGGUGAUGGCGGCGGCCUAUUCCUGAUGAUGCCUGCUGAGGUGAAGAUUUAGGGGUUGAAGCUGCCAGCAUGAUCUGACUCUCUCUCUCUCUCUUUCUCUAUCUCUCUGCCCGGUAGAACAGAUCAUGCUGCAGUUUCAUCCGCUAAUAUCUGCACGAUUUCUUUGAAGUGUUGUCAAUCCGAGGCCUCCAAUACUCAGAGUUCCCAAGGGAGAAACCUCCAAGCAUUGGAGCAUCCUGAUGAUGGACGAAAAUGCUACGUUUACUAUUUACUAUGGCCUGUUAGGGAACUGCGCUUCAAGUACUUCCCUAUAUUCCUAGAAGAUGAAGUUUCUGUUCCUCUCUUCCUUGUUGCAAGAGACGAUUACAGAAAUGAUUUUUGCAGAAAUCCACUUAUUUCAGCGUCUAGAUGUCGGGGAGGACUUGUCUCUAUCAUUUACAGGUUCCCCGAUACUUUGCGAGAUCCAGUCUUUCCUGCUAUAUCACUACAAUUUCUAAUGGUUAUUGAUCCAUUGCAUGAGCUCUCUCUCUCUCUCUCUCUCUCUCUCUCUCUUUUUCACCUUAUUUGUUCCCUAUUUUUCCCUUUACUUUUUCAAUCAGAGCCAUUUUCUAUAUAUAUAUAUAUAUAUAUGACUUUGGCUAUCAAAAGUCAUCAAUCAUUUAUGGUUGAGCAAAACAAAGAGAAAAAGGUAUCAACUAAUAAUAAAUGACAAAAAUAUUUAUUUAUUUUUGUUUUUUCUUAAUCAUCCAUUAUAAUGGAUCAAAUGGUUCUAGUUAAAUUGCUAGCUGACUUUGAAAAGCCCAAGU